UGAAUACGAGACGCUACGGCGUCGAAGCAGUCUAUGUCAUACUUCCAAGAAAAGCUUGCACUGUCAUAAACAAAUAAUGCCUGUACCAUAACCGACACAGGUGGGUAGGUAGAGUAUACUAAGGGGCGCGAGAUAACUCUCUCUAAGGAACUCGGCAAAAUGACUCCGUAACUUCGGGAGAAGGAGUGCCUUAUUUAUAAGGUUGCAAUAACAAGAUCCAAGCAACUGUUUAUCAAAAACACAGGUCUCCGCUAAGUCGUAAGACGAUGUAUGGGGGCUGACGCCUGCCCAGUGCCAGAAGGUUAAAGAAGUUGGUUAGCAUUAGCGAAGCUGAUAACUGAAGCCCUGGUGAACGGCGGCCGUAACGAUAACGGUCCUAAGGUAGCGAAAUUCCUUGUCGGGUAAGUUCCGACCCGCACGAAAGGCGUAAUGAUUUGGAUACUGUCUCGGAGAGGGGCUCGGUGAAAUAGACUUGUCUGUGAAGAUGCGGACUACCUGCACCUGGACAGAAAGACCCUAUGAAGCUUUACUGUAACCUGAAAUUGAAAUUGGACUUUAUUUGCGCAGUAUAGGUGGGAGGCGUUGAGAAUAUUCUUGCGGGAAUAUUGGAGCCAUCAGUGAGAUACCACUCUUGUAAUGUUAGAUUUCUAACUUUGAAUCAUUAUCUGGUCAAAGAACAGUUUCAGGCGGGCAGUUUGACUGGGGCGGUCGCCUCCUAAAUGGUAACGGAGGCGCACAAAGGUUUCCUCUGAACGGGUAGAAAUCGUAUCUAGAGUGUAAAGGCAUAAGGAAGCUUGACUGUGAGACCUACAAGUCGAGCAGGGACGAAAGUCGGUCUUAGUGAUCUGACGGUGCUGAGUGGAAAGGCCGUCACUCAACGGAUAAAAGUUACUCUAGGAUAACAGGCUGAUCUCCCCCAAGAGUUCACAUCGACGGGGAGGUUUGGCACCUCGAUGUCGGCUCAUCGCAUCCUGGGGCGGUAGUACGUCCCAAGGGUUGGGCUGUUCGCCCAUGAAAGCGGUACGCGAGCUGGGUUCAGAACGUCGUGAGACAGUUCGGUCCAUAUCCGGUGUAGGCGUUAGAAUAUUGAGAGGAGCCUUCUUUAGUACGAGAGGACCGAGAAGGACAUACCUCUGGUGUACCAGUUAUCGUGCCAACGGUAAACGCUGGGUAGCUAUGUAUGGAGAGGAUAACCGCUGAAAGCAUCUAAGUGGGAAGCCCACCUCAAGAUAAG
RNAcentral lists this ribosomal RNA (1234 nucleotides) under metagenome. RNAcentral describes it as "bacterial LSU rRNA". It matches the Rfam family "Bacterial large subunit ribosomal RNA", at positions 1564 to 2808 of the family's 2925-position model. The record is from RNAcentral.